UACAGAGGGUGCAAGCGUUGUUCGGAAUUAUUGGGCGUAAAGCGCGUGUAGGCGGCUUUGCAAGUCGGGUGUGAAAUCCCUCGGCUCAACCGAGGAAGUGCGCCCGAAACUGCAGAGCUUGAGUACCGGAGAGGAUGGCGGAAUUCCCGAAGUAGAGGUGAAAUUCGUAGAUAUCGGGAGGAACACCGGUGGCGAAGGCGGCCAUCUGGACGGAUACUGACGCUGAUGAGCGAAAGCCAGGGGAGCAAACGGG
This 253-nucleotide ribosomal RNA is filed under the name uncultured bacterium. RNAcentral's name for it is "partial 16S ribosomal RNA". It matches the Rfam family "Bacterial small subunit ribosomal RNA", at positions 524 to 776 of the family's 1533-position model. The record is from RNAcentral.